Molecule: ribosomal RNA, 460 nt
Filed under: uncultured bacterium
Lineage: Bacteria
Description: partial 16S ribosomal RNA
Rfam family: Bacterial small subunit ribosomal RNA
Source: RNAcentral
CCUACGGGAGACAGCAGUGAGGAAUAUUGGUCAAUGGACGAGAGUCUGAACCAGCCAAGUAGCGUGAAGGAUGACUGCCCUAUGGGUUGUAAACUUCUUUUAUAAAGGAAUAAAACGAGGCACGUGUGCCUUUUUGCAUGUACUUUAUGAAUAAGGAUCGGCUAACUCCGUGCCAGCAGCCGCGGUAAUACGGAGGAUCCGAGCGUUAUCCGGAUUUAUUGGGUUUAAAGGGAGCGUAGAUGGGUUGUUAAGUCAGUUGUUAAAGUUUGCGGCUCAACCGUAAAAUUGCAAUUGAUACUGGCAGUCUUGAGUACAGUUGAGGUAGGCGGAAUUCGUGGUGUAGCGGUGAAAUGCUUAGAUAUCACGAAGAACCCCGAUUGCGAAGACAGCUUACUAAACUGUGACUGACAUUGAUGCUCGAAAGUGUGGGUAUCAAACAGGAUUAGAUACCCGUGUAGUC